GGAAGGUCAUAAAGGAACACAAAAAGGGACAGUUAACUCAACCUGCGUGCGGGAAUUCACCAGAGUCUGGAAGAUUUAUGUUGAGCCAGAAAAUGGGGGAAGAUGGACUUUGACAUUUUCACUGUUCAGGGAUGUAUGGUCCCCACAAGCCAGACAACAGCUCUGCUCAUGGACUGAGUAGCAGUGGCGGGGGUAUCCAGUCUUCUUAGGGUCACCAUGCAUCUAUCUGAUGUUUGGCUAGCUCUUGGGGUCCUUCAAGGAAACAAGGCUGGUAUCCUCACUACUGAAA
Long non-coding RNA from Odocoileus virginianus texanus, 289 nucleotides. RefSeq lists it as uncharacterized. The record is from RefSeq and is a predicted model, not a curated record. Lineage: Eukaryota; Metazoa; Chordata; Mammalia; Artiodactyla; Cervidae.